CGUAUCAAAUUUGGCAAAUUUGCGAGUGAAGUGCCGUCAUGUCGGAAUACGUGUGUGACAGUGUGCCGAGUGCUAGGUGAAAAUUGGAUCAAGUUUGUGAUAAUCGUCGUGGAAGAAUCGCCGUUUGUAAAGAACUCUUACCGAUUAUGAAGAGGAUGUUGAAGCAGUUAUCGAAGGCCGUUCCAACAACCAAUCUACACAAGCAAAAGGACCAAAAACUAUUUGCGAAAACUGUUGCAAUUGAUGCAAAGAAGCCCACUGCGUUGCACGCUACUAAGGCGGGGAUCCGUCCGUAAUGAUCAGCAACGUAUCCAAACACAAGGCCCCCUAUCA
Molecule: long non-coding RNA, 333 nt
Organism: Neodiprion virginianus
Lineage: Eukaryota; Metazoa; Arthropoda; Insecta; Hymenoptera; Diprionidae
Exons: 2
Source: RefSeq, a predicted model, not a curated record